CGCAUUAUGCCGUGGAUAGUUAGGGCGUGUUUGGUUCGCGUUUUUUUUACCCUAGAAUCAGAAUCGGAAUGGAUAAAUUCGUUUGUAGGUGUUUGGUACGUGGGAAUUCUAUUCAGAUUCCGAUUCCCGAGUGGAAUGGGAAUCCCCCAAUCACCUCAUUUUUUAAUCCGACCUAGGAGGCCGGAUUGAAAGUUGAAUCCGGACGGAAUGAUAUUUAUUCGGAUUAAAUUCAUUUUUUCUACUUUUUUAAUUAAAAUAUGAGUUAAAAUUUAAAAAUUAAAUAUAUAAUUUUAAAUUUUAAUUUGAACUUAAAUUAAAAUUUAAAAUUUAAUCAAGGAUUUCAAAUCUAACUUAUGAAUUUGAAUUUAAAUUAAAUUUUAAUUUAUAUAAAGUUUUAUUCAAAUUUUAUUUAAAAUUUAAAUUAAAUUUAUGGAUUCAAAUUAAAAUUUAAAUUGUAAUUUU
This 462-nucleotide long non-coding RNA is filed under the name Ananas comosus (pineapple). RNAcentral describes it as "long non-coding RNA (ACOM_LNC009257)". The record is from RNAcentral. Lineage: Eukaryota; Viridiplantae; Streptophyta; Magnoliopsida; Poales; Bromeliaceae.